AGACACCUCUGAUGAUUGCUGCAUGUAUUCUGCCCAGGGUUUUUGGCUGUGAUCACUGGGAGAGAUAGAAGGGACUGUAUUUGCUCCAUCUUACCCAGCUCUGCAAACCUGCUGGAGAGUUUAAUUGAGAUAACCGCUGGUAAGAGUUUGGCUUAUAUUCUUCUACAUUUUUUUCCCCACAAGAAACUGAAAUUUGAAUUUUCUUCUACAAGUGAGAAAAAAAAAAAGUAAAAUCUCUAACUGUCUUAGUGAUGAUAAUUCUGAGAAGACAGGCCCAUUGAGCCAAGUAGGAGGAUAGGUUUCCUGAGGAUGGAGAUGCAGAAAUAGUUGACUUUGCCUUCACGAAGCAUCCUGACAUUUUUAGAUGUGGCUACACUCUGUGGGCCGGAAGUCGAAUUCCCUGGAGGGCUAGAGCUCUCAGUAUUUUGGACAUAUGUGAAGUCAGCACAGGGGGCAGGCGGUAAGUUAACUUGAAGAGAAUUCCAGUUACAAAUUUAGCUCAGCUUCUAAAAAACACUCCCAUCGAAGAGAGAUUCCUGGUUGCUGUGGAACUGCGUCCCCUGUGGGAUUUUCCUUGUGGAGUUAACUAGACACAGUUGUUACUAGGUAGCGGGACAACAGAUUUGCUUAAGAUCUCUUCGAUUUUGACAGUUUGAUGAUGGGUGACUUAUGUGGUAUUGUGGACAUCUGUUGGCUUUAUAUUUUGCCUGCCAAGCAUCCAUACUUUCUUUUUUCUGGUAUCCAUACUCAAUUUUUCUUCUGGUUCACCACCUAUACCGGGUUGAAUAAUGCCUCCCUCCCCACCCCAAUUCAUGUCUACUCGGAAGCUCAGCAUGUGACUUUAUUUGGAAAUAAGAGUCUUUGUGGAUAUAGCUAGGAUGAGGUCAUCCUGGAUUAGGGGGGGUCCUAAGUUCAAGGACUGGUGUUACCAUGAGAAGACACAGAGAAGGAAGGAGAGGCAGAGACUGGAAUGAAAUAACUGGAAGGGAAAGAACACGGAGGAUCGGGAUUGUCAGCGCCUCCAGGAGCUAGGAGAGAGGCCUGGAACGGGCUCUGCCUCAGAACCUCCAGCAGGAACCAACUCUUUGGACACCUUGAUGUUGGGCUUCUGGCCUCCAGGACUGGGAGAAGAUGCAUUUCUGUUGUUUAAGUCCUCCAGUUUGUGGUAUUUGUUAUGGCAGCCCUAGCAAAUUAAUAUACCUCCCAUUUACCCUGUCAAAAUGAUCCGGGGGCUAGUCUCUGUUGUGCUGGGCUCCUAUUAACUUCGGUAGGGAAGGCAUUAGGUUCAGGAGGAUGAGGAAGAGACCCAGAGUCCUCAAAUGAGACAUGGGGUUUUAUUAGCAGGAAGCUUACAUACACAGUGGUCCAGUGGUGGUGGGCUGGGCAGGAGAACCACAACUGCUUCCAAAAGCAUGUGGUUUGUACAGCAUUUUCACCUAGCACCCUCCCUGUAACAAUCUCCACCUGGCAACCCUCGUUUAACUCAAAACAAAGGGCCUCAAUGUCCUGCACGGGCCCUUUACGUUCCAUGCGUCAGGCUGGGG
RNAcentral lists this long non-coding RNA (1544 nucleotides) under Homo sapiens (human). RNAcentral's name for it is "HSALNT0224869". Lineage: Eukaryota; Metazoa; Chordata; Mammalia; Primates; Hominidae. The record is from RNAcentral.